AUGUUGAAAAUAGGACAUGGUGGGUCUUCUGGUGCAAAGUUCCUGAUUUCCUGGGUCAUUUGGUGGGAGGCGUGAUCAACUGUGCAGACUGCAUGGGAUCCAGAAAUCUGUAUCUCAUCACUGUGACGUGGGCAUCGACAGGCGGCUGAGCCGACCUCCCGGCACUGCUGGCGGGGGAACCACGCCGAUGGCCAGGGUCAGGGAAGGCAAACCAGAGCGCAGAGAGAAGGUGCCUCCAGCAGCCGAAAUCCCACCGCGAAAGUAUACCAGAGAAGAAAUGGCACGUUUCUUAUUUUGAAGAUCACGUGGAGAUCAUAGCAAACAAUAAAGGCCAGAUGAAUGGUUCUGCUAUCCCAAGACCAGCCGUAACACAGAUUAAAAAAAACCAAAACCGUUAAAAUUAUUUGCCACCGCUCCUCC
This 420-nucleotide long non-coding RNA is filed under the name Homo sapiens (human). RNAcentral's name for it is "non-protein coding lnc-CYP7B1-7:1". The record is from RNAcentral. Lineage: Eukaryota; Metazoa; Chordata; Mammalia; Primates; Hominidae.